Molecule: ribosomal RNA, 1226 nt
Filed under: Escherichia coli
Lineage: Bacteria; Pseudomonadati; Pseudomonadota; Gammaproteobacteria; Enterobacterales; Enterobacteriaceae
Description: bacterial LSU rRNA
Rfam family: Bacterial large subunit ribosomal RNA
Source: RNAcentral
GGGUUGUGAGGUUAAGCGACUAAGCGUACACGGUGGAUGCCCUGGCAGUCAGAGGCGAUGAAGGACGUGCUAAUCUGCGAUAAGCGUCGGUAAGGUGAUAUGAACCGUUAUAACCGGCGAUUUCCGAAUGGGGAAACCCAGUGUGAUUCGUCACACUAUCAUUAACUGAAUCCAUAGGUUAAUGAGGCGAACCGGGGGAACUGAAACAUCUAAGUACCCCGAGGAAAAGAAAUCAACCGAGAUUCCCCCAGUAGCGGCGAGCGAACGGGGAGCAGCCCAGAGCCUGAAUCAGUGUGUGUGUUAGUGGAAGCGUCUGGAAAGGCGCGCGAUACAGGGUGACAGCCCCGUACACAAAAAUGCACAUACUGUGAGCUCGAUGAGUAGGGCGGGACACGUGGUAUCCUGUCUGAAUAUGGGGGGACCAUCCUCCAAGGCUAAAUACUCCUGACUGACCGAUAGUGAACCAGUACCGUGAGGGAAAGGCGAAAAGAACCCCGGCGAGGGGAGUGAAAAAGAACCUGAAACCGUGUACGUACAAGCAGUGGGAGCCUCUUUAUGGGGUGACUGCGUACCUUUUGUAUAAUGGGUCAGCGACUUAUAUUCUGUAGCAAGGUUAACCGAAUAGGGGAGCCGAAGGGAAACCGAGUCUUAACUGGGCGUUAAGUUGCAGGGUAUAGACCCGAAACCCGGUGAUCUAGCCAUGGGCAGGUUGAAGGUUGGGUAACACUAACUGGAGGACCGAACCGACUAAUGUUGAAAAAUUAGCGGAUGACUUGUGGCUGGGGGUGAAAGGCCAAUCAAACCGGGAGAUAGCUGGUUCUCCCCGAAAGCUAUUUAGGUAGCGCCUCGUGAAUUCAUCUCCGGGGGUAGAGCACUGUUUCGGCAAGGGGGUCAUCCCGACUUACCAACCCGAUGCAAACUGCGAAUACCGGAGAAUGUUAUCACGGGAGACACACGGCGGGUGCUAACGUCCGUCGUGAAGAGGGAAACAACCCAGACCGCCAGCUAAGGUCCCAAAGUCAUGGUUAAGUGGGAAACGAUGUGGGAAGGCCCAGACAGCCAGGAUGUUGGCUUAGAAGCAGCCAUCAUUUAAAGAAAGCGUAAUAGCUCACUGGUCGAGUCGGCCUGCGCGGAAGAUGUAACGGGGCUAAACCAUGCACCGAAGCUGCGGCAGCGACACUAUGUGUUGUUGGGUAGGGGAGCGUUCUGUAAGCCUGUGAAGGUGU